RNAcentral lists this ribosomal RNA (292 nucleotides) under uncultured bacterium. RNAcentral describes it as "partial 16S ribosomal RNA". It matches the Rfam family "Bacterial small subunit ribosomal RNA", at positions 505 to 796 of the family's 1533-position model. The record is from RNAcentral.
GUGCCAGCCGCCGCGGUAAUACGUAGGAUCCGAGCGUUGUCCGGAUUUACUGGGUGUAAAGGGCGUGUAGGUGGGUUCUUAAGUCGGUGGUGAAAUCUUGCAGCUCAACUGCAAAACUGCCAUUGAUACUGGGAAUCUUGAGUACGGCAGAGGGAGAUGGAAUUCAUGGUGUAGCGGUGAAAUGUGUAGAUAUCAUGAAGAACACCGGUAGCGAAGGCGGUCUCCUGGUCCGUAACUGACACUGAGGCGCGAAAGCGUGGGGAGCAAACAGGAUUAGAUACCCGCGUAGUCC